RNAcentral lists this ribosomal RNA (492 nucleotides) under uncultured bacterium. RNAcentral describes it as "partial 16S ribosomal RNA". It matches the Rfam family "Bacterial small subunit ribosomal RNA", at positions 29 to 507 of the family's 1533-position model. The record is from RNAcentral.
AGUGAACGCUGGCGGUAGGCCUAACACAUGCAAGUCGAACGGCGGCACAGUAAGAGCUUGCUCUUACGGGUGGCGAGUGGCGGACGGGUGAGGAAUACAUCGGAAUCUACUUUUUCGUGGGGGAUAACGUAGGGAAACUUACGCUAAUACCGCAUCCGACCUACGGGUGAAAGCAGGGGAUCUUCGGACCUUGCUCGAUUGAAUGAGCCGAUGUCGGAUUAGCUAGUUGGCGGGGUAAAGGCCCACCAAGGCGACGAUCCGUAGCUGGUCUGAGAGGAUGAUCAGCCACACUGGAACUGAGACACGGUCCAGACUCCUACGGGAGGCAGCAGUGGGGAAUAUUGGACAAUGGGCGCAAGCCUGAUCCAGCCAUACCGCGUGGGUGAAGAAGGCCUUCGGGUUGUAAAGCCCUUUUGUUGGGAAAGAAAAGCAGCAGGUUAAUACCCCGCUGUUCUGACGGUACCCAAAGAAUAAGCACCGGCUAACUUCGUG